Molecule: ribosomal RNA, 254 nt
Filed under: uncultured bacterium
Lineage: Bacteria
Description: partial 16S ribosomal RNA
Rfam family: Bacterial small subunit ribosomal RNA
Source: RNAcentral
UACAGAGGGUGCGAGCGUUGUCCGGAAUCACUGGGCGUAAAGGGCGCGUAGGUGGUGGCUUAAGCGUGCGGUGAAAGCUCGGGGCUCAACUCCGAGUCGGCCGUGCGAACUGGGCUCACUGGAGCAUAGUAGAGGCAGGUGGAAUUCCGGGUGUAGCGGUGGAAUGCGUAGAGAUGCGGAGGAACACCGAUGGCGAAGGCAGCCCCCUGGGCUAACACUGACGCUGAGGCACGAAAGCGUGGGGAGCAAACAGG